GUUGUAAGAUGGGGAAAAGAUGAGAAAGCGGUUAUAGGCGUUUCAGACAAAAAAAAAAAGAAACAAGAGCUAAAGAAGGAGAAUCACGAUAAGUUACAAAGAGAUUUACAAAGAGAUUUACGGCAAAGAUCAAAUUGAUGUGCUCUCCUCUGAACUCUGAUGGUAUCAUGGUAAAAAUAUUUGAUUCAAAAGCACUAAAAUUAUAGCGUUUUGUUUUCUUUUGUCUCUAAACAUGAUAUAAAUAUCUGAUUUGUUCGACGUGAUUUUGUGCACUUAACAUCUGAUUUUUUCGACGUGAUUUUGUGCACUUAUGAUCCAGAGAUAGACAUAAGGCUUGCUAACAAGGUCUUGAAUGGGGAAGGAAAACCCUCGAAAAACUGAAGGUUUCCGUUGGAUCUCUUGCAUUCUCUGAACCAUUUGGUUGUUGUAAGGGAACUUAUUGUUCCUCUGUGCGUUUUCUUCUUCCAAAGGGUUUUGUUUUUGUUAUCAUAUAUUUUCACUUUCAAUAUUGUUAUCAUUUUUGAGUUUUAACAGGGUAAGUAUGAUAAUAUGAAACUGAGGAGACUUCAUGAUAAAACCCACCGCGAGGAACAUAGAAAUCAGACAUGGAAAAAUCAAAGAAAGGACAUUUGAUAAAAAGUAAAACUGCUUCCCUUAAUUCAUCACAUCUAGGAUCAGACUGUUGCAAUAUAUAUCAGGAUCGCGUUGCAGUGGUUAUCAUCUUUUAUUGUUCCUGCUCAUGUUUUUUUUUCUGGCCUUUUUUCUUUACAGGUAGAUAUUUCCAUUUGAAAACUAUAUACUUUUAAUUAGUAAACUCUAAGUAUGCUUCAAGAUUUUCAUGUCUUUUUAGUUUCUAUUCUCGAGCGUUUAACCUUUUACUAACGAUCUUUUGUUGAUUUUAGUGGCAGCUUCACUAUGUUUCUGGAGGUAAGCACAGUUCAUCAUCAUUCUAAUGUAUUUUGUCCAUUUUUCCACGUCUCUAAAAGACCUAAAACUAAAUCUCACUGAACCAACCUCAUAUCUUAACCUUUUUGGAGUUCUGUGUGAUCAUGAUUUUGUGGUUUCUUUCUAACAGGUUAGCACAUUGGGGUACUUUGCAUCACAUUACCGUGUUAUGAGGUAUGUGAUAUUUUUCUUUGUUCAAUACUCUGUAAUCUGCGGGAGUGGUUUCACUAAUUCACCAACAACAAAAUGCAGGAGGAAGCUUCAUGGACCGGAAGGAAGCGAUGACGAGGUUUAUGACUUGGUAACUGCUUUGAUUUUUAGGGGGUUUCAGAGGCUUACAGAAGAAACCGGUAAGGAAGGAAAUUUUAAAGUAGAAGUAUGUUUAUCAAAUGAUUUCAUUGGUUUGGAUUUCAUUAACUAUCUAUAGUGUAUAGUCCCGGGAAUAAACUACACAUUCUUUUGUGGGUUUGGUGAAAUGUGAAAAUUAUGAGUGGAGCUCAAGUUUCUGCCGUACGAUGCUCUCUUUUCUAUACUUUUGUACUUCUUCUAUGUAUCAACAUGCACUUAGAAUUUGCGUGUUUCAUGGAUUUAUGCCAGAUGAUGUUUCUCGGUAACUCAAUUUUUCUGACCACUAUUCAGCUUUUGGCUUAAUUGAUAUGGUACGUACUCUCACAUAGUAAUUUGUGCUUCCUCUGAGCUAUAAACCAUACAAGAGUAUGUUGCCAGCAAUCCAGUGUAUGUGGAAGUUUUCAACAGAGUGAUUCCAUUGGCUUACAACAUCAUAAAGAGGAAUAAAGUCGGAGAAACUAACACUUACUUGGAUGGAACCUACUAUUGUUUCACUUAACCAAACUUGAAUCCAUUACUCCAGUAUAGACUGCUCUACUUCCCAUAACGACGUUAUCCGAUUUUAUUCCUUAAAGAUAUAGAAGUACAACUGAAAAGAUGAUGAACAUUGCAUGUGUGUAUGUGACCACAUUUAGGAUUCUAGAUGUUCCUUCCGAAUUAAAGUAAAUCUAUCUUUAUGUAUGUGUCGUUGUAUCAUUUUUUGAAUAGUGCUAUGUUUUCUUUAUCUA
Brassica napus (rape) is the source of this 2021-nucleotide long non-coding RNA. RefSeq lists it as uncharacterized. The record is from RefSeq and is a predicted model, not a curated record. The transcript is spliced from 2 exons. Lineage: Eukaryota; Viridiplantae; Streptophyta; Magnoliopsida; Brassicales; Brassicaceae.